Molecule: long non-coding RNA, 710 nt
Organism: Uranotaenia lowii
Lineage: Eukaryota; Metazoa; Arthropoda; Insecta; Diptera; Culicidae
Exons: 3
Source: RefSeq, a predicted model, not a curated record
GGCGACCAUACAAACAGCAACUGGAAUAUAUGAUAGGCCUGUAGCGAAACUUGCGAUCUUGGACAUCGGCGUUAUAGGUGACGGUACACAAGUGUACACUCCGGGGGGGACUGUUGCGACCGCCGAUUCGAACAUCGAACCCAUCGCUCCCCUAUCAUCAAACCAUCAUCGACCAAAAACGUCAAACAUGCUUUCACAGCAGGAACACUAACAACAUGUCAAAAGAUUAGGAAAAGAGAAUAGGUGAAAAUUUGAUUUGUCAUUCAAGCUACGGUUAAAACGAUUCCACGUUUAGUUCCGAAGUUAAAUCACGUUAACAUUCAGAGAUUUGGCGAUUAUAAAGUUUAAUCUAGUGAAUCUCUGGAUCUGCGUAAAAUACGACCUUUAUCGAUAGUGCCUUUCGCAAUUAAAAGCUAAGCACAUUGAACUGCCUACAUCCGUUUUACCCUCAUACGUUAGCUUUCGUUACAAUCGCUUUCAAGCAAAGCUGCUAGCGACCACUAAAGAAGCGCAUAUCGAAGUACCGCCGCGGUCACUACACCUUCGUACAACUUAUUAUUACAAGUGCCUUCUAGUUGUGUGACAGUUAAAUACUGAACGUAAGCGUAACUAAGUUAAUCUUAUUACACAUAUUCUAACGUCAGUUUACUUUUAGAAAUUUUGUAUUCAUCACACCUGGAAUAAAUUAACAGAAUUAAACUGGUUUUACU